CCUACGGGUGGCAGCAGUGGGGAAUAUUGCACAAUGGGGGAAACCCUGAUGCAGCGACGCCGCGUGAGUGAAGAAGUAAUUCGUUAUGUAAAGCUCUAUCAGCAGGGAAGAAAAUGACGGUACCUGAGUAAGAAGCCCCGGCUAACUACGUGCCAGCAGCCGCGGUAAUACGUAGGGGGCAAGCGUUAUCCGGAUUUACUGGGUGUAAAGGGAGCGUAGACGGCAGCACAAGUCUGGAGUGAAAUCCCGGGGCUUAACCCCGGAACUGCUUUGGAAACUGUGCGGCUGGAGUGCAGGAGGGGUAAGCGGAAUUCCUAGUGUAGCGGUGAAAUGCGUAGAUAUUAGGAGGAACACCGGUGGCGAAGGCGGCUUACUGGACUGUAACUGACGUUGAGGCUCGAAAGCGUGGGGAGCAAACAGGAUUAGAUACCCCUGUAGUC
Molecule: ribosomal RNA, 440 nt
Filed under: uncultured bacterium
Lineage: Bacteria
Description: partial 16S ribosomal RNA
Rfam family: Bacterial small subunit ribosomal RNA
Source: RNAcentral